UNGGAAUUACUGGGCGUAAAGCGAGCGCAGACGGUUUAUUAAGCAAGAUGUGAAAUCCCCGAGCUUAACUUGGGAACUGCGUUUUGAACUGGUAAGCUAGAGUAUNUCAGAGGGGGGUAGAAUUCCACGUGUAGCAGUGAAAUGCGUAGAGAUGUGGAGGAAUACCGAUGGCGAAGGCAGCCCCCUGGGAUAAUACUGACGUUCAUGCUCGAAAGCGUGGGUAGCAAACAGGAUUAGAUACCCUGGUAGUCCACGCCCUAAACGAUGUCAAUUAGCUGUUGGGGCACUUGAUGCCUUAGUAGCGAAGCUAACGCGUGAAAUUGACCGCCUGGGGAGUACGGUCGCAAGAUUAAAACUCAAAGGAAUUGACGGGGACCCGCACAAGCGGUGGAUGAUGUGGAUUAAUUCGAUGCAACGCGAAGAACCUUACCUGGUCUUGACAUGUACGGAAUCUUCCAGAGACGGAAGAGUGCCUUCGGGAGCCGUAACACAGGUGCUGCAUGGCUGUCGUCAGCUCGUGUCGUGAGAUGUUGGGUUAAGUCCCGCAACGAGCGCAACCCUUGUCAUUAGUUGCCACCAUUCAGUUGGGCACUCUAAUGAGACUGCCGGUGACAAACCGGAGGAAGGUGGGGAUGACGUCAAGUCCUCAUGGCCCUUAUGACCAGGGCUUCACACGUCAUACAAUGGUCGGUACAGAGGGUAGCCAAGCCGCGAGGUGGAGCCAAUCUCAGAAAACCGAUCGUAGUCCGGAUUGCACUCUGCAACUCGAGUGCAUGAAGUC
RNAcentral lists this ribosomal RNA (781 nucleotides) under uncultured bacterium. Its description in RNAcentral is "bacterial SSU rRNA". It matches the Rfam family "Bacterial small subunit ribosomal RNA", at positions 545 to 1327 of the family's 1533-position model. The record is from RNAcentral.